This is a long non-coding RNA of Symphalangus syndactylus (siamang), 425 nucleotides long. RefSeq lists it as uncharacterized. The record is from RefSeq and is a predicted model, not a curated record. NCBI's taxonomy places the organism in Eukaryota, Metazoa, Chordata, Mammalia, Primates, Hylobatidae.
GCGGGCGUCGUCGUCUCGGCCCUGCAGCCGCGCCAGGAGUCCGCGCUGCACAAAGCUCUGGCGGGCGGCGCGGCCCCGGCCGCCGCUCAGCUCCACCGCGCGUUCCAGAUCCUCCAGGGCGCCUGUGGGACCGAUGAGACGGGCGGGGCGGGGGUCAGCGGCGGCCUGGGCGGCCUUGCCCGAGCCCCAGCCCACCUGCGGCCGCGCGGAUCACCGUGGUCCUUGCGGCUCCGGGGCGUGGCCAUUUACAACCCGCCUCGCACCUGCUAGAGAAAAGACCCCGGCCAUGGAUGGGAGACCUAGGACAAAGAUGGAAAAGAGAAUCAACUCUGCCUUAGGCGAACAAUUUACCAUAAUAUUCUAAGACAGGAGUGGAAUGACACCUCCAGCCAUUACCUGCAAAUGAGAGCUGCUUUAGGCGGGCA